Molecule: small nucleolar RNA, 93 nt
Filed under: Dasypus novemcinctus (nine-banded armadillo)
Lineage: Eukaryota; Metazoa; Chordata; Mammalia; Cingulata; Dasypodidae
Description: Small nucleolar SNORD12/SNORD106 (ENSDNOG00000027727.1)
Rfam family: Small nucleolar SNORD12/SNORD106
About the family: This family belong to the C/D class of snoRNA which contain the C (UGAUGA) and D (CUGA) box motifs. This family includes the human ortholog of mouse snoRNA HBII-99 and human snoRNA U106.
Source: RNAcentral
GUUGGUGUAAAUGAUGACUAAGCUUUUUUCCCCAUCAGAUCGGCAAUGCUGAUUUAUUUUGAACAAUUUGCCAGUUAAUUCUGAUACACCGGC